CUCCUUCAAACCUUUGGGUUUGGUGUUGAGUGAUACUCUUAGUCAACUAAGUGUUUGCUUUAAAUAUAAUGGCAGGAGUGUACUGGAUAGUACGAACUGGUUAUUCAAUGUAUUAGGUUUAUCCAACUCGUUGAAGACUGGGGUAGUAAAUUUCUAGUAAUUGGCUCGGCCUUAUAAUAACAAACUAA
This 188-nucleotide unclassified non-coding RNA is filed under the name Yamadazyma friedrichii. Its description in RNAcentral is "[Candida] friedrichii sequence contains ITS2". Lineage: Eukaryota; Fungi; Ascomycota; Pichiomycetes; Serinales; Debaryomycetaceae. The record is from RNAcentral.